GCCACAUGAAUCUAAUCUCCCAAGUCUAAACGUAGCAAAGCGAGAUUAGAUUAUUUUGUUUUAUUGUCUUAAUUUCACCCAGUCUAAACGUAGCAAGGUGAAGUUAAGUUGUCUUGUAUUAAUUGUUUAAACUCAUAGGUUAAACGUAGCACUUGAGUAAGAUGUAUUGUGUUAAAAUUGUAUAACUGUGUGUAUAUGGUUUAAAUUUUGAUAAACUGUGACAUCAUUUGAGAAGAGAUUUUUGUGUAAACUCCAGUUGUCAGUCAGUAUACAGACUGAAAAUUGUGACCUUUCGAUCUCUCAAAAGGUGAUAUAGUGGUGUGUAAAAGUACAAGUAACAGAAAUGGGGUUGAAUCAUGGCAAGCAGCUUGAUCAUGGGGAUAGUAUACCCAGUGAUUCCCCAGUUUAUU
Pelobates cultripes (western spadefoot toad) is the source of this 410-nucleotide non-coding RNA. NCBI's taxonomy places the organism in Eukaryota, Metazoa, Chordata, Amphibia, Anura, Pelobatidae. The record is from the annotation of a GenBank genome assembly.